GUGCUCGCUUCGGCAGCACAUAUACUAAAACUGGAACGAUACAGAGAAGGUUAGCAUGGCCCCUGCGCAAGGAUGACACACAAAUUCGUGAAAGGUUCCAUAUUUGU
This 107-nucleotide small nuclear RNA is filed under the name Tursiops truncatus (common bottlenose dolphin). Lineage: Eukaryota; Metazoa; Chordata; Mammalia; Artiodactyla; Delphinidae. The record is from RNAcentral. RNAcentral also lists the same sequence under 1 other name.